UACGAAGGGGGCUAGCGUUGUUCGGAAUUACUGGGCGUAAAGCGCGCGCAGGCGGUCUUCCAAGUCAGUGGUGAAAGCCCGGAGCUCAACUCCGGAACUGCCAUUGAAACUGUAAGACUUGGGGACGAGAGAGGUGAGUGGAAUUCCCAGUGUAGAGGUGAAAUUCGUAGAUAUUGGGAAGAACACCAGUGGCGAAGGCGGCUCACUGGCUCGUAUCUGACGCUCAGGCGCGACAGCGUGGGGAUCAAACAGG
Molecule: ribosomal RNA, 253 nt
Filed under: uncultured bacterium
Lineage: Bacteria
Description: partial 16S ribosomal RNA
Rfam family: Bacterial small subunit ribosomal RNA
Source: RNAcentral